GACGAACGCUGGCGGCGUGCCUCAGACAUGCAAGUCGAACGAUUAAAGCUCUCUUCGGAGAGUGUAUAGAGUGGCGCACGGGUGAGUAACACGUAAGUAAUCUACCCUCGAGUGGGGAAUAACGUCCGGAACGGACGCUAAUACCGCAUAAUGCAGCGGCACCGCAAGGUGACAGUUGUUAAAGAUUUAUCGCUUGAGGAGGAGCUUGCGGCAGAUUAGCUAGNGGUAAGGUAAUGGCUUACCAAGGCUACGAUCUGUAACCGGUCUAAGAGGACGGUCGGUCACACUGACACUGAAUAACGGGUCAGACUCCUACGGGAGGGCAGCAGUCGGG
This 334-nucleotide ribosomal RNA is filed under the name uncultured bacterium. Its description in RNAcentral is "bacterial SSU rRNA". It matches the Rfam family "Bacterial small subunit ribosomal RNA", at positions 28 to 359 of the family's 1533-position model. The record is from RNAcentral.